AGAGCGAACGCUGGCGGCAUGCUUAACACAUGCAAGUCGCACGGGCAUUUCGGUGUCAGUGGCGGACGGGUGAGUAACGCGUAGGUAUCUAUCCUUGGGUGGGGGACAACGGUUGGAAACGACUGCUAAUACCGCAUGAUAACUGAGGUUUAAAGGCGCAAGUCGCCUGGGGAGGAGCCUGCGUACGAUUAGCUAGUUGGUGGGGUAAAGGCCUACCAAGGCGACGAUCGUUAGCUGGUCUGAGAGGAUGAUCAGCCACAUUGGGACUGAGACACGGCCCAAACUCCUACGGGAGGCAGCAGUGGGAAUAUUGGACAAUGGGCGAAAGCCUGAUCCAGCAAUGCCGCGUGUGUGAAGAAGGUCUUCGGAUUGUAAAGCACUUUCGACAGGGACGAUGAUGACGGUACCUGUAGAAGAAGCCCCGGCUAACUUCGUGCCAGCAGCCGC
This 447-nucleotide ribosomal RNA is filed under the name uncultured bacterium. RNAcentral's name for it is "SSU rRNA". It matches the Rfam family "Bacterial small subunit ribosomal RNA", at positions 26 to 518 of the family's 1533-position model. The record is from RNAcentral.